RNAcentral lists this ribosomal RNA (240 nucleotides) under uncultured Porphyromonadaceae bacterium. Its description in RNAcentral is "partial 16S ribosomal RNA". It matches the Rfam family "Bacterial small subunit ribosomal RNA", at positions 796 to 1041 of the family's 1533-position model. The record is from RNAcentral. Lineage: Bacteria; Pseudomonadati; Bacteroidota; Bacteroidia; Bacteroidales; Porphyromonadaceae.
CACGCAGUAAACGAUGAUUACUCGCUGUUUGCGAUACACAGUAAGCGGCUUAGCGAAAGCGUUAAGUAAUCCACCUGGGGAGUACGUUCGCAAGAAUGAAACUCAAAGGAAUUGACGGGGGCCCGCACAAGCGGAGGAACAUGUGGUUUAAUUCGAUGAUACGCGAGGAACCUUACCCGGGCUCGAACGGUGCAUGAAUAUAUGAGAGAUUGUAUAGUCUUCGGACAUGCAUCGAGGUGC